RNAcentral lists this long non-coding RNA (316 nucleotides) under Helianthus annuus (common sunflower). Its description in RNAcentral is "hypothetical non coding rna". The stretch from base 3 to 76 matches the Rfam family "tRNA". Lineage: Eukaryota; Viridiplantae; Streptophyta; Magnoliopsida; Asterales; Asteraceae. The record is from RNAcentral.
CUGCUUUCAUAGCUCAGAUGGUUAGAGCACCCGUUUAGUAAGCGGGAGGUCUUGAGUUCAAAUCUCAAUGAAAGCACUUUUUUAUCUUUUUUUUGUUUCAGUCACAUGGAUUAUUGAUAUGUGAUGUUAUGAGUAGAAGUAGAAGGGCAAUUUUAAAUACCAUAUACAGCCACGUUGCUUAUUUUGGUGGGAAAUGAUAGUUUAUGAUAUUAAAACGGAACAUAAAUUCAUUUCAUCAAGUGCUUUCAUAGCUCAGUUGGUUAGAGCACCCGUUUAGUAAGCGGGAGGUCUUGAGUUCGACUCUCAAUGAAAGCAC